This 75-nucleotide transfer RNA is filed under the name Constrictotermes cyphergaster. RNAcentral describes it as "tRNA-Ser". Lineage: Eukaryota; Metazoa; Arthropoda; Insecta; Blattodea; Termitidae. The record is from RNAcentral.
AGUUAAAAAGCUAUAGAAUAUAAAGCCUAAUGUCUUGAAAACAUUAUGAAAGAAGUUUAAAUCUUCUAUUAACUU